Molecule: ribosomal RNA, 466 nt
Filed under: uncultured bacterium
Lineage: Bacteria
Description: partial 16S ribosomal RNA
Rfam family: Bacterial small subunit ribosomal RNA
Source: RNAcentral
GAUGAACGCUGGCGGCGUGCUUAACACAUGCAAGUCGAACGAUGAAGCUCAGCUUGCUGGGUGGAUUAGUGGCGAACGGGUGAGUAACACGUGAGUAACCUGCCCUUAACUCUGGGAUAAGCCUGGGAAACUAGGUCUAAUACCGGAUAGGAGCGUCCACCGCAUGGUGGGUGUUUGGAAGAUUUAUCGGUUUUGGAUGGACUCGCGGCCUAUCAGCUUGUUGGUGAGGUAAUGGCUCACCAAGGCGACGACGGGUAGCCGGCCUGAGAGGGUGAACGGCCACACUGGGACUGAGACACGGCCCAGACUCCUACGGGAGGCAGCAGUGGGGAAUAUUGCACAAUGGGCGAAAGCGUGAUGCAGAGACGCCGCGUGAGGGAUGACGGCCUUCGGGUUGUAAACCUCUUUCAGUAGGGAAGAAGCGAAAGUGACGGUACCUGCAGAAGAAGCACCGGCUAACUACGUG